This 484-nucleotide unclassified non-coding RNA is filed under the name Hevea brasiliensis (rubber tree). Lineage: Eukaryota; Viridiplantae; Streptophyta; Magnoliopsida; Malpighiales; Euphorbiaceae. The record is from RNAcentral.
GCAAAUAACAAGAGUCUGCCAGUAGCUCCCUUGAACAAUUACCUCGUUACAAAGUCACAUGACAGUAAAUUCUCUCAAGAGGAAUCGAUUUAUUUUGAUAAUUCAACAAAUUUUCACCGGGGUUCACAGAAGCAUGAUAUAUAUGCUUCAAAAGGAUCACUUCACAGGAGUAAGUCUUACGCAAGCAGUCAAUCCAGCUUAAAGUCCUGUGGGUUAACAGAAGGUGACGCUUGGAAGGUUAAUUGCCGGAUGUAUUCACCUAACCCAAGUUCGUCUUCUAGUGAAAUUAUUGUCAGACUGUGUAGAUAUCUACCAAAUUCACUGAUGAAUGACAUUCCUAAUGAUUCUUGGUCUAGUGCUUUUGCCCUUGUGCCACCUACUGGUUCUAGCAGUGUAACAGUCCCACAACCAUCCAAAAAAUCUGGUUAUGUAAUUUCUGUUUGUGCUGUUGCAGCACCAUUUUUUGGCAGGACAAAAAUCAUUA